RNAcentral lists this ribosomal RNA (2236 nucleotides) under Escherichia coli. Its description in RNAcentral is "partial 23S ribosomal RNA". It matches the Rfam family "Bacterial large subunit ribosomal RNA", at positions 419 to 2640 of the family's 2925-position model. The record is from RNAcentral. Lineage: Bacteria; Pseudomonadati; Pseudomonadota; Gammaproteobacteria; Enterobacterales; Enterobacteriaceae.
GGGACACGUGGUAUCCUGUCUGAAUAUGGGGGGACCAUCCUCCAAGGCUAAAUACUCCUGACUGACCGAUAGUGAACCAGUACCGUGAGGGAAAGGCGAAAAGAACCCCGGCGAGGGGAGUGAAAAAGAACCUGAAACCGUGUACGUACAAGCAGUGGGAGCACGCUUAGGCGUGUGACUGCGUACCUUUUGUAUAAUGGGUCAGCGACUUAUAUUCUGUAGCAAGGUUAACCGAAUAGGGGAGCCGAAGGGAAACCGAGUCUUAACUGGGCGUUAAGUUGCAGGGUAUAGACCCGAAACCCGGUGAUCUAGCCAUGGGCAGGUUGAAGGUUGGGUAACACUAACUGGAGGACCGAACCGACUAAUGUUGAAAAAUUAGCGGAUGACUUGUGGCUGGGGGUGAAAGGCCAAUCAAACCGGGAGAUAGCUGGUUCUCCCCGAAAGCUAUUUAGGUAGCGCCUCGUGAAUUCAUCUCCGGGGGUAGAGCACUGUUUCGGCAAGGGGGUCAUCCCGACUUACCAACCCGAUGCAAACUGCGAAUACCGGAGAAUGUUAUCACGGGAGACACACGGCGGGUGCUAACGUCCGUCGUGAAGAGGGAAACAACCCAGACCGCCAGCUAAGGUCCCAAAGUCAUGGUUAAGUGGGAAACGAUGUGGGAAGGCCCAGACAGCCAGGAUGUUGGCUUAGAAGCAGCCAUCAUUUAAAGAAAGCGUAAUAGCUCACUGGUCGAGUCGGCCUGCGCGGAAGAUGUAACGGGGCUAAACCAUGCACCGAAGCUGCGGCAGCGACGCUUAUGCGUUGUUGGGUAGGGGAGCGUUCUGUAAGCCUGCGAAGGUGUGCUGUGAGGCAUGCUGGAGGUAUCAGAAGUGCGAAUGCUGACAUAAGUAACGAUAAAGCGGGUGAAAAGCCCGCUCGCCGGAAGACCAAGGGUUCCUGUCCAACGUUAAUCGGGGCAGGGUGAGUCGACCCCUAAGGCGAGGCCGAAAGGCGUAGUCGAUGGGAAACAGGUUAAUAUUCCUGUACUUGGUGUUACUGCGAAGGGGGGACGGAGAAGGCUAUGUUGGCCGGGCGACGGUUGUCCCGGUUUAAGCGUGUAGGCUGGUUUUCCAGGCAAAUCCGGAAAAUCAAGGCUGAGGCGUGAUGACGAGGCACUACGGUGCUGAAGCAACAAAUGCCCUGCUUCCAGGAAAAGCCUCUAAGCAUCAGGUAACAUCAAAUCGUACCCCAAACCGACACAGGUGGUCAGGUAGAGAAUACCAAGGCGCUUGAGAGAACUCGGGUGAAGGAACUAGGCAAAAUGGUGCCGUAACUUCGGGAGAAGGCACGCUGAUAUGUAGGUGAAGUCCCUCGCGGAUGAAGCUGAAAUCAGUCGAAGAUACCAGCUGGCUGCAACUGUUUAUUAAAAACACAGCACUGUGCAAACACGAAAGUGGACGUAUACGGUGUGACGCCUGCCCGGUGCCGGAAGGUUAAUUGAUGGGGUCAGCGCAAGCGAAGCUCUUGAUCGAAGCCCCGGUAAACGGCGGCCGUAACUAUAACGGUCCUAAGGUAGCGAAAUUCCUUGUCGGGUAAGUUCCGACCUGCACGAAUGGCGUAAUGAUGGCCAGGCUGUCUCCACCCGAGACUCAGUGAAAUUGAACUCGCUGUGAAGAUGCAGUGUACCCGCGGCAAGACGGAAAGACCCCGUGAACCUUUACUAUAGCUUGACACUGAACAUUGAGCCUUGAUGUGUAGGAUAGGUGGGAGGCUUUGAAGUGUGGACGCCAGUCUGCAUGGAGCCGACCUUGAAAUACCACCCUUUAAUGUUUGAUGUUCUAACGUUGACCCGUGAUCCGGGUUGCGGACAGUGUCUGGUGGGUAGUUUGACUGGGGCGGUCUCCUCCUAAAGAGUAACGGAGGAGCACGAAGGUUGGCUAAUCCUGGUCGGACAUCAGGAGGUUAGUGCAAUGGCAUAAGCCAGCUUGACUGCGAGCGUGACGGCGCGAGCAGGUGCGAAAGCAGGUCAUAGUGAUCCGGUGGUUCUGAAUGGAAGGGCCAUCGCUCAACGGAUAAAAGGUACUCCGGGGAUAACAGGCUGAUACCGCCCAAGAGUUCAUAUCGACGGCGGUGUUUGGCACCUCGAUGUCGGCUCAUCACAUCCUGGGGCUGAAGUAGGUCCCAAGGGUAUGGCUGUUCGCCAUUUAAAGUGGUACGCGAGCUGGGUUUAGAACGUCGUGAGACAGUUCGGUCCCUA